Molecule: long non-coding RNA, 313 nt
Filed under: Nicotiana benthamiana
Lineage: Eukaryota; Viridiplantae; Streptophyta; Magnoliopsida; Solanales; Solanaceae
Description: long non-coding RNA (NBEN_LNC009276)
Source: RNAcentral
CUCAUCACACCAAGAGUAUUUAAAAUAGACUAAGCACAAAAAUGUAACAUCUUCACCUCAAGAUUUGACUCACAAGUACCACACAUUAUUCACAAUUCACCUACUUACUCUAACAUAGAGGUCACUGACAUUACCCUUCCUUCAUGAAUCAAGUGCCCUCACACAACAAAAGAGAGUGGUUCCACUCAAAUAAAUUUAAGAAUACUUAGGAACUCAAGAUCGAAAGAAUUCACUCACUCUCAGAAAUAACAUUCAUAUGCCACAAAAGAUGCACCAUAGGCUUGCCCGUAGUGUACUACUCCACUAAUCGAGC